Molecule: long non-coding RNA, 809 nt
Organism: Erigeron canadensis
Lineage: Eukaryota; Viridiplantae; Streptophyta; Magnoliopsida; Asterales; Asteraceae
Exons: 3
Source: RefSeq, a predicted model, not a curated record
UACUCCACAUACGACUUAUGCCACCAUACUUUUAUAAACAAAUACUAGUAUAAAACAAAUACAUGUAACAGUAGCCUACUUGCACUUACUGUAUGUUUUAAACAUAUCGGUAUUGAAAUUCGGUUUUCCCGUACCGAACCGAAUAAUACCGAAACCGAAUCCCCAUCAGUACCGAAUUUCGGUACCGGUACCAUACCGGUUCGGUUUUGAUUUUCUGGUUUUUACGCUCAUCCCUAGUGUUGUUAUUGACACGAGUACAGAAUUGCAAACAUAUCUAGAUGCGCUUCGUAUACAAGAUUCGGAAAGGUUUAACAUAUUAGACUGGUGGAAGGUCAAUGGUCCAAGGUUUUCAAUUCUUUCAAAGAUGGCCAAAGAUAUCUUCGCUAUUUAAAUUUCUACCGUUGCUUCGGAGUCCACUUUCGGUACUAGCGGCCGAGUUUUAGAUGCAUUUAGAAGUUCUUUGGCGGCUACCAAGGUUGAAGAAUUAAUUUGUGUUCAAGAUUGGAUUAGAGGGUUCGAGAGACUACCUACUUGGAGGAUGAAAUUGACAAUAUGAGUAUGAAGACACAAGUAACGGUGAGUUCGGUACAGCGGGAGCAAGUACAUCCAGGACUAGUUGAGAAGAUUUACACCAUGAAUUACAAGAGUUCGACAAAAGACAAUUCGUUUUAUUGAUUAUUGGUUUUCUAAAUCUCAAACCUGCUUAUUGGUUGGAUUUGCUUUUUAGAUUCUUCUUUUUGAGAUUUUUAUGUUGGAUUUGCAUUCAUAUUAUACCUUUCUAUUCAAUUUGGAUUUUCAUUCAUGUCAAA